CGCAUGCACAACCACUAUAAAAAGCCAUCAUCAAUGGAGCCCCGAUACCACGAGUCACCAUGACAACAGAGCAAAAACGGUCAAUUUAUUUCACCCCGGUGGAGUUGGAGGUCCUUAUGCUGGCCUACGGCGAGUAUGAGAACAUUUUUCGCCGCAAAUCCAACACGGCUGCAGCAGCGAAGGAGAGAGAGACGGCAUGGGAGAAAAUUGCUGCGCGAGUCAAUGCGUAAGUUUGAAUGUACUAUUCCACUGACGUAACAUAUAAGAUCGAAGCAUAGUCUAUAGUUAUGAAUAUAAGUAGGAAUGAAAUCUGAUUUUCAUUUAGGUGCAAUCCAACGGGAGAAAAAAGGACUUGGAAGCAGCUCAAAAUGAAACAUAAAAACAUAAUUCAAAAAGGUAAGGCAUAUUUUGCUAGGCUGUGAUUGCACCUCACUUUGGUUUUAAUUUAAUUAUUUUAAAUGGACUUAGGCUAUUAGACAAAGUCAAUAUUAAUUUAAACUAAAAUAUUAAUUCAGCGGCUACUUCAAAUUAUAAUUUAAACCCCAAACAAAAUGUAGUUUUUCAACGUCCUCUCACUUAAUUCUACAGUUCGUGGAUUAACACUUGAUACAAACACAUUUAUAUUUUAGACCUAUUGAAGUCAUUUAAAGUGUGACGCUGUAGCCUACACCAACACUGAUUAAAAUACUAUUUUAAAAUAAACAUUGACUUCUGCUCAGCCAACAGAAAGAAGGCAGAGGCCCGAAAAACGGGUGGAGGGCCACCUCCACUACAUCUGACGGAGGCUGAGGAGCUGGCCCUCAGCCAAAACAGGGGUCGCCCUGUGGCUGAAGGCAUCCCCGGGGGAAGCUCAUCUGAGCCUGUCACCCCCCAGGACACAAGUCCCUACAUCAGAUGCAAGUAUACACUUAUGUCUUUAAAAAAUAAAACUAAUAUAUAAAUAUAUAUAGCCUACUUUUUAACAAAUAUAUAUCCACCCACCCAACAGUUGUGGAUGGUGUCAUCUGCCUGCUUCAGCCUCCGACAGAAACAAAC
Non-coding RNA from Xyrichtys novacula (pearly razorfish), 1035 nucleotides. Lineage: Eukaryota; Metazoa; Chordata; Actinopteri; Labriformes; Labridae. The record is from the annotation of a GenBank genome assembly.